Molecule: ribosomal RNA, 558 nt
Filed under: Kellermania yuccigena
Lineage: Eukaryota; Fungi; Ascomycota; Dothideomycetes; Botryosphaeriales; Planistromellaceae
Description: eukaryotic LSU rRNA
Rfam family: 5.8S ribosomal RNA (bases 183-336)
Source: RNAcentral
AACAAGGUUUCCGUAGGUGAACCUGCGGAAGGAUCAUUACCGAGUUCCGGGCCCUAGCGGUCCGCUCUCCAACCCUUUGUGAACCUACCACCGUUGCUUCGGCGGGCCACCGCGCCCGCCGGAGGAACCCCAAAAAACCGUCAGUGAACUGUACAGUCUGAUCAGAUAUUCAAAUAUCUUAAAACUUUCAACAACGGAUCUCUUGGUUCUGGCAUCGAUGAAGAACGCAGCGAAAUGCGAUAAGUAAUGUGAAUUGCAGAAUUCAGUGAAUCAUCGAAUCUUUGAACGCACAUUGCGCCCCUUGGUAUUCCGGGGGGCAUGCCUGUUCGAGCGUCAUUACAACCCUCAAGCUCUGCUUGGUAUUGGGCGCCGUCCUUCACCGGACGCGCCUCAAAGGCCUCGGCGGCGGCUUCUCAGCCUCAAGCGUAGUAACACAAUUCUCGCUUUGGAGGAUGGGCGGUCGCCCGCCGGACGAACCUUCUAAUGAAACUAUUUCAAGGUUGACCUCGGAUCAGGUAGGGAUACCCGCUGAACUUAAGCAUAUCAAUAAGCGGAGGA